GUUUUAUUUAUAGUUUUGACAUUCGAGACUUGUUGUAAAAUGUAAAGCGGAGGCGACGCCGGAACGCCGCGACCGAAAAGGUGCACAGGUGUGAGAGGUUUCGACAGCGUGCAGCCGAAGCGCACAGCUGAAGAGGAGGGCCGAGGCCCGAAUCUUUAAUGAUCCUUCCGCAGGUUCACCUACGGAAA
This 188-nucleotide unclassified non-coding RNA is filed under the name uncultured fungus. RNAcentral's name for it is "sequence contains ITS1". The record is from RNAcentral. Lineage: Eukaryota; Fungi.